UGGGGAAUUUUGCACUAUGGAGGAAACUCUGAUGCAGCGACGCCGCGUGAGUGAUGAAGAUCUUCGGAUUGUAAAACUCUGUCCUUAGUGAAGAUAAUGACAGUAACUAAGAAGCAAGCCCUGGCUAAAUACGUGCCAGCAGCCGCGGUAAUACGUAUGGGGCAAGCGUUGUCCGGAAUUAUUGGGCGUAAAGGGUACGUAGGCGGUUUAAUAAGUUCUAAUUAAAAGGCUAUGGCUCAACCAUAGUAUGGUUAGGAAACUGUUGAACUUGAGUAGAUGAGCAGAAAGUGGAAUUCCAUGUGUAGCGGUGAAAUGCGUAGAUAUAUGGAGGGACACCAAUGGCGAAGGCAACUUUCUGGAAUCAAACUGACGCUGAGGUACGAAGGCGUGGGGAGCAAACAGG
RNAcentral lists this ribosomal RNA (403 nucleotides) under Fusobacteriota bacterium. RNAcentral describes it as "Fusobacteria bacterium partial 16S ribosomal RNA". It matches the Rfam family "Bacterial small subunit ribosomal RNA", at positions 355 to 776 of the family's 1533-position model. Lineage: Bacteria; Fusobacteriati; Fusobacteriota. The record is from RNAcentral.